UACGUAGGCGGCAAGCGUUGUUCGGAAUUACUGGGCGUAAAGAGUGUGUAGGCGGUGCUCUAAGUCUGUUGUGAAAUCUCUCGGCUCAACCGAGAAACGUCGGCUGAUACUGCCGUUCUUGAGGGAUGCAGAGGAGAAUGGAAUUCCUGGUGUAGCGGUGAAAUGCGCAGAUAUCAGGAAGAACACCCGUGGCGAAGGCGGUUCUCUGGGACGGUACUGACGCUGAGACGCGAAAGCGUGGGGAGCGAACAGG
Molecule: ribosomal RNA, 253 nt
Filed under: uncultured bacterium
Lineage: Bacteria
Description: partial 16S ribosomal RNA
Rfam family: Bacterial small subunit ribosomal RNA
Source: RNAcentral